RNAcentral lists this ribosomal RNA (218 nucleotides) under uncultured bacterium. RNAcentral's name for it is "partial 16S ribosomal RNA". It matches the Rfam family "Bacterial small subunit ribosomal RNA", at positions 138 to 358 of the family's 1533-position model. The record is from RNAcentral.
GGGGGAUAACUGCUCGAAAGAGCAGCUAAUACCGCAUACGACCUGAGGGUGAAAGCGGGGGAUCGCAAGACCUCGCGCGAUUGGAGCGGCCGAUAUCACAUUAGGUAGUUGGUGGGGUAAAGGCUCACCAAGCCAACGAUCUGUAGCUGGUCUGAGAGGACGACCAGCCACACUGGGACUGAGACACGGCCCAUAUUCCUACGGGAGGCAGCAGUGGG